RNAcentral lists this ribosomal RNA (496 nucleotides) under uncultured bacterium. Its description in RNAcentral is "partial 16S ribosomal RNA". It matches the Rfam family "Bacterial small subunit ribosomal RNA", at positions 28 to 507 of the family's 1533-position model. The record is from RNAcentral.
GAUGAACGCUGGGGCGUGCCUCAUACAUGCCAGUCGAGCGAACAGACGAGGAGCUUGCUCCUUUGACGUUAGCGGCGGACGGGUGAGUAACACGUGGAUAACCUACCUAUAAGACUGGGAUAACUUCGGGAAACCGGAGCUAAUACCGGAUAACAUGUUGAACCGCAUGGUUCAACAGUGAAAGACGGUCUUGCUGUCACUUAUAGAUGGAUCCGCGCCGCAUUAGCUAGUUGGUAAGGUAACGGCUUACCAAGGCAACGAUGCGUAGCCGACCUGAGAGGGUGAUCGGCCACACUGGAACUGAGACACGGUCCAGACUCCUACGGGAGGCAGCAGUAGGGAAUCUUCCGCAAUGGGCGAAAGCCUGACGGAGCAACGCCGCGUGAGUGAAGAAGGUCUUCGGAUCGUAAAACUCUGUUAUUAGGGAAGAACAAAUGUGUAAGUAACUAUGCACGUCUUGACGGUACCUAAUCAGAAAGCCACGGCUAACUACGUG